This 459-nucleotide ribosomal RNA is filed under the name uncultured bacterium. RNAcentral describes it as "partial 16S ribosomal RNA". It matches the Rfam family "Bacterial small subunit ribosomal RNA", at positions 338 to 795 of the family's 1533-position model. The record is from RNAcentral.
CCUACGGGUGGCAGCAGUGAGGAAUAUUGGUCAAUGGCCGGAAGGCUGAACCAGCCAUGCCGCGUGAAGGUCAGUGCCCUAUGGGCGUUAAACUUCUUUUGUCGGGGAGCAAGGGCGGGGACGUGUCCCGGCCCGGCGAGUACCCGGAGAAAAAGCAUCGGCUAACUCCGUGCCAGCAGCCGCGGUAAUACGGAGGAUGCGAGCGUUAUCCGGAUUUAUUGGGUUUAAAGGGUGCGUAGGCGGGCUUUUAAGUCAGCGGUAAAAAUUCGGGGCUCAACCCCGUCCGGCCGUUGAAACUGGGGGCCUUGAGUGGGCGAGAAGAAGGCGGAAUGCGUGGUGUAGCGGUGAAAUGCAUAGAUAUCACGCAGAACCCCGAUUGCGAAGGCAGCCUUCCGGCGCCCUACUGACGCUGAGGCACGAAAGUGCGGGGAUCGAACAGGAUUAGAUACCCGGGUAGUC